UGGAUCAGGGGUGACUACUGGUGGUGUAUGAAUCAUAUAUGAUGAAUACAUGUCUGCAACUAUGUCCAG
Manis pentadactyla (Chinese pangolin) is the source of this 69-nucleotide small nucleolar RNA. RefSeq annotates it as small nucleolar RNA SNORD113/SNORD114 family. The record is from RefSeq and is a predicted model, not a curated record. The transcript has a single exon. Lineage: Eukaryota; Metazoa; Chordata; Mammalia; Pholidota; Manidae.